Triticum aestivum (bread wheat) is the source of this 3268-nucleotide long non-coding RNA. RefSeq lists it as uncharacterized. The transcript has 5 exons. NCBI's taxonomy places the organism in Eukaryota, Viridiplantae, Streptophyta, Magnoliopsida, Poales, Poaceae. The record is from RefSeq and is a predicted model, not a curated record.
AAUUUCAUUAUGCAAAUGAUUAUUAUUUUUCUCCGAGAAUGUUACAAUGACAUCUGCACAUCGUCGCUUCUUAUCUCCCAGCCGCCACCUGCAUAGGGCACACUCCGACCAUGCAACCGCCAAGGUCGCCGACCACAUCGUGCACGUCCACGCCAUCGACCUCGGCGGACGGUGCCGCAAUGUUCGUCAGUAUGUCCUGUUGGUUGAGGAGCGCGAAGGAAGUGGGCUGAGGGAAGUGGGGGCGGCGGCAGAAGCAGCAUGGGUGUCCUACGGUGAGCGCUUUGAGGGAUUCUGCAGAGCAGUUCUCCCCGGAGGCCUGAUGCAUCCAACCGUACAAGGAAACUUGAAAACUACACCACAACUCUUAGGCUUGCCAAAAUAUGAGGAUUAUCACUCAGUCAUGAGCGAAACUGGAUGUACCCGGUAAGGAUGGAGGCGAGAUGGGGCCAUAGAGCCCCCUUUUGCGCAGGAGGGAGUAUGUCUGAGCCGAAGGCAACAAUUGUGGCCGCUUCCAGAGCCGAAGCCACCUGCGGAGUCAAUGUCAUGGUCGCCCCAGAGCGGAAUCCAUCGCCUAGGCCACAAGAGUAGGAGCUGCUGUCGCGGAGGUCAUCUCUGAACCUAUACUGAACUUUCUAUGGAUGGUAAGAUGUCCUCCCUCAAUCUUCUAGCAGCCGGUGCUCGUUGGCCUCUCCUCACUAUUCAGCUGUUGAUUGUAUGAAAUAGAUGGUUAACACUUUAUUUUGUUGGUCCCUACUGGACGGUAGUGAUGUUGAGACACAAGAGAUUAUCAUGCCUAUGCAUAUAUAUAAAAUUGUUCAUGGAUCUUUCUUAUCUCUGAUAUAAUUUUGCCAAUGAUCAAAGAACUGUUGUUCUGGAUGUACACCUAUUGUGUUGCUUAUUUUGCCAUCACUCUUCUGGUUUACCUUAGGAGUAGUACCAAUCUUAUAAAAUGCUCCUAAUUUGGGUAAAAUUUGGAAACAUUAUGGAUGGAUAAAUUUAUGGACUUGUUCCUUUAUUACAUAAUUUUAUAGCCUAUGAUCUUAUACAGUUGAGGGCCGCUUAUCCUAUUCUUUAUGUGUGAAGUUAAAAGCUAAAUAUAGCUAAUGACAUAAGUGAUCUAUUAAAAUAUAUCACGGAAGUAAGUACUUAUUUUUGUUUCUACUUAUUACCUAAUUUUAAUGUGAAUUUUUCAAAGACAUACAGUGUUCCAUAUAGUCUAAUUUAAUAUACCAGCGAUGAUGGUAUUGAAUCCGCGAAGAAAAUAUAUACUCAUUUCCUAAUUGCAUAUUUUAAUCAGGAGGUCAAGACCAAGCUUUAGGCAGGAAAAUGGGACAAUCUUCAGUAAGCUACAAUGUUCAUGUCUUCUUAUAUCAUUUGACUGAUGUGUUCUUGUAUCAUUCUUCUACUUUCGGAGCUAUUACUGCGAUCAUUUUGACCUCAUGUCUUCUUAUAUCAUUUGACCUUAUCUAGAUAUUAGUGGUUCUUAAUCCAGCAAGGUCUUGAAUAUUUUUCGCUUUGUCCAUUCAAAAUUUUGUUCUUCUAGCAACGUUCAUGGUUUAAGCUUUGAUUCGAAAAACAACUUUCAAUUUUAUAGGAGACACAAAGAGCAACAACAAGCCGCUGUAGAUAUUAUGUAGUAGCAGCAUUAAAGAUCUGCUAAUGUUAUAUUUUCUUAUUCUUUCCUUAAUAUCUACAUGACCAACGUGUAUUUUUAAUGAUCAAACAUGCACAUGUCACAUUAAGAGGUUGAGAGUAGCUCAAAAGAUAUGCAUACAUCCUCUACCUUUUACCUAAUGAAAUAUUUCUAAAGCCAUAGUAGAUGUCAGGUGUAAAUUCCAUGAAGAACUGUUGGUUUUUGUAAUUAUUUCGUGAAACUUUCAUUGUAGGGUUCUAGGUUUGGUGAAUAAGCAGGGUUGUCUUCUUUCUUUAGUAUCUGCAUGAUCAAGUCGGUCUGUACUUUUAAUGAUCAUACCUGCACAUGUCACAUUAAGAUUGAAUAUAUUGUGACUUUUCUAACCAUUUCUUGUUAAUUGCUUGAGGAAAAACUAACAGGAAUUUUUUUCUUAGAAAUCCCAAGGAAGUAAUUGUUCUCACUGUUUUGGUAAAAUAACAUAUAUUUUUGUUGUAUGUAUACUUAAUUUCAGGAGAUGUAGAUUUUCUUGUUAUCUUAUAUAUGUUCCUUUUCUUUUUUUUUUCUUGUGAAAAAUGAGUUCAACAAGGGCUCCUCAUUCUAGCCUCCUGGGGUUGAAAUGAUUACUCCUUUAAUUGAUUUGAAGAUUGUUAAUUUUUUAUAUUUGGAAACGCUUGGAAGCUUUCCUUUGUUUUGGCGUUAUGAAGAUCUUAUGCUGCAGGGAGAUUUCACCGAUGCCACAAAGAUGCUGCUGCAUCGAACGCAUAGGAUAAGAUGAUAUUAAGAUGCCAAAUAGCAGGUUGCUUCAAACCAGGGGAACUGACUGGUUCAUAGAUGGUAGAACGUUCAAUCUUCGACGAUGCUCAGGGAGCAAACAAGGGGAAUUAGGGAAAAGUAUAUUUUUCAUCCCUGGACUCGCUCAAAAGUAUAGAAAUGAUCCUUCAACUUUAAAACCGGCAAAUUCAGCACCCACGUGGGAAUCUUCUUCUUUUCCAUUUUAACUCGGCUGGGCAUUUCGUCGAGCAGUUGGCGCCACCAGGCAACAAGAGGAAGAGGUAGGCAUGGAGCUUGCGUGGCUAUCGGCGGCGCACGCAAAGGGUGCAGGAGGCCAGGGAGCUGCGCUACAGUUAGUUUUCUGGGACGAGCGGGGCUGUCGCGGCUAGCAGCACUGAGGCACGCGGCGGCUUGGCCUUCACGGCGAACUCGUAACACAGUCACAACUAACUGAUGCUCGUGUUGCCGCCUCGUGCUCAUGGUAUGCCUCUGCAAUUGUCGGCGACCGCGCCGUUGAUGUCCCCGCGUCAUCCAGUUCUCGUUCAAAUCCAUCACUUGCGUGAUGUGGGUCGUGGACAUGGCGCGGACAACGGCGCGACGGCGGGGCGCACGCUUGUCGCCGCUCCAGCGCCGUCAGCCGCACCCGCUUCGGCGGCUCGCCCGGUUUGCCGUUGUUGCUCGGCCACACAUGGGCGAUGACUGGUGAAACCAUGCAAGUCAGCGUGAAAACCACUUUUGUUAAAUCAAAGGACUCGAGUUAUCUGGUUUAAAGAAUUGAGGGACUAAGUUUUGCUGGUUUUGAAGUUAAGGGACCGUUUCUAUACCUUCGAGAGAGUUUAGGGAUGAAAAAUAUACUUUUCCCGA